CGGACGUGGACGAGCUCCGUGCACGGAGACCACAGAAGUCAGCCGAGUGAGCUCGGGUCGGCGCGCCGCCUUCCGCUGCUGCCUCCCGAACGCGGCCAGAGUGCGCGGGAGGGCCGGCCGUCGCCGGGUGAGGGCUGCGUGCCGGCCGGUCCUCUAGGGCCCCGACAGGGGGUGACCCGGGCUUCCCGGGGCGCGGGCGGUCCACCGCCAAGAGACCCCUGCCGCUGAGCGGCUGAGCAGCAGCCCCGCGCUUGCGCGCCGCCCUCCUCCUUGACCUGAGCCUUCCAGCCUUUAAAAUGCCUUCCAAAAGUAUCCCAUCAUAGAGAAGACAGCAUGGCUACCCAGGAGAUACGGCCUCUUGGAGAACUUGGGAGACCCCAACUUUAAAGAGGCGCAGAGUUAUGGGGAGAAGAUCCAGCACUGUUUGACUGGACCAGCGGGAAAGCAGGCCUGUAGAUGAGAGUCGGGAGUAUCUUGAACAAAAAUGGAAAAGAGUUCGGUAAGAACCCGUGGUGGAGUCCCUCUCCUUUCUCCUUCAGCCAGGAGUGCAUGACCAAGUGCCCAGUGGGAAUGGGUUCCAGAAAAACACCCCCUCUACUUCCACAUUUCCUUCCAUUGGACAUGUUUGGCAGAAUUUGCUAUUCUUCUCUAGCCACUUGAAUGUUUAGAACCUGCUGUAUUGUGACAAUGGUAACAAUAUUUGACACAAAUUGAUGAAAAUAUGUCAAUGCCUCUAUUUUUAAAUGCUUGAUAAAGAGGAAGGAAAUUCAUUGUACCUUAUUUACAUACAGUAAAAUUUUAGAGCUCCUCUCUUCUAUAAACAUUUGUAUUUGCACAUAAAGGAAACGUUCACUGAAAAUAGGUUUUGCUAUCUAUGGCAUUAUAUUAAAACUGGGUGGCUCAGUCAGUUAAGCGUCCGACUUCGGCUCAGGUCGUGAUCUCACAGUUCGUGGUUCAAGCCCCGCGUUGGGCUCUGUGCUGACAGCUCAGAGACUGGAGCCUGCUUCCGAU
Molecule: long non-coding RNA, 1011 nt
Organism: Neofelis nebulosa (Clouded leopard)
Lineage: Eukaryota; Metazoa; Chordata; Mammalia; Carnivora; Felidae
Exons: 4
Source: RefSeq, a predicted model, not a curated record